UACGUAGGGUGCAAGCGUUAUCCGGAAUUAUUGGGCGUAAAGAAGCUCGUAGGCGGUCUGUUGCGUCCGCUGUGAAAAACUCGGGGCUUAACCCCGAGCCUGCAGUGGAUACGGGCAGACUAGAGGUAGGUAGGGGAGAAUGGAAUUCCCGGGUGUAGCGGUGAAAAUGCGCAGAGUAUCAGGAGGAACACCGGUGCGAAGGCGGGUCUCGUGGGCCGAUACUG
Molecule: ribosomal RNA, 224 nt
Filed under: uncultured bacterium
Lineage: Bacteria
Description: partial 16S ribosomal RNA
Rfam family: Bacterial small subunit ribosomal RNA
Source: RNAcentral